This 200-nucleotide long non-coding RNA is filed under the name Hordeum vulgare. Its description in RNAcentral is "long non-coding RNA (HVUL_LNC014981)". Lineage: Eukaryota; Viridiplantae; Streptophyta; Magnoliopsida; Poales; Poaceae. The record is from RNAcentral.
UCAUCCCCCCUGGAAGUGAUCAAUCCUAAGAAAUCUGCUCAGGUGACAGCUAAUAUGUACAGUGGUGAAAUCAACGGAAUAACCAGCAGGAAUGCCACGAUGUUCUGCAAGAAGCUUUGGCUUCAGUUCAAGUAAUAUAUCGGAAGGAUAUGAGAUCAUAUGUAAAAGAUAAUAAAACAAGACAUGACAUAACUCUGAUG